UACGUAGGGGGCAAGCGUUAUCCGGAAUUACUGGGUGUAAAGGGAGCGUAGACGGUAAUGUAAGUCUGGAGUGAAAGGCGGGGGCCCAACCCCCUGACUGCUCUGGAAACUAUGUUACUAGAGUGCAGGAGAGGUAAGCGGAAUUCCUAGUGUAGCGGUGAAAUGCGUAGAUAUUAGGAGGAACACCAGUGGCGAAGGCGGCUUACUGGACUGUAACUGACGUUGAGGCUCGAAAGCGUGGGGAGCAAACAGG
This 253-nucleotide ribosomal RNA is filed under the name uncultured bacterium. RNAcentral's name for it is "partial 16S ribosomal RNA". It matches the Rfam family "Bacterial small subunit ribosomal RNA", at positions 524 to 776 of the family's 1533-position model. The record is from RNAcentral.